GAUGAACGCUAGCGGCAGGCUUAACACAUGCAAGUCGAACGGUAACAGGAUUGAUUUAUCAAUUGCUGACGAGUGGCGCACGGGUGCGUAACACGUAUGCAACCUACCCUUUACAGGAGGAUAGCCCAGAGAAAUCUGGAUUAAUACUCCAUAGUACCAUAAAGCCGCAUGGUUUAAUGGUUAAAGAUUUAUCGGUAAAGGAUGGGCAUGCGACCUAUUAGCUUGUUGGUAAGGUAACGGCUUACCAAGGCUUCGAUAGGUAGGGGGUCUGAGAGGAUGAUCCCCCACACUGGUACUGAGACACGGACCAG
Molecule: ribosomal RNA, 311 nt
Filed under: uncultured bacterium
Lineage: Bacteria
Description: bacterial SSU rRNA
Rfam family: Bacterial small subunit ribosomal RNA
Source: RNAcentral